Molecule: unclassified non-coding RNA, 240 nt
Filed under: soil metagenome
Description: partial contains 5.8S ribosomal RNA, internal transcribed spacer 2, and large subunit ribosomal RNA
Source: RNAcentral
AAGACUAUAGACCUGCGGAGUACCUGCGGAGGGAUCAUUAACAAAUUUGUUGAGUAUGUACAAUUGUGAACAGGCCAGAGUUUGUAUCUGAAGAAGCAAAUGAGCAAUUAUUUGUGUAGCUGAAGAAGCAGAUAAGCAAUUAUUUGUUAAGCAGAUGAGCAAUUAUUUGUGUAGCUGAAUAUUUGUCUAGCUAAAUAAGCAAUUAUUUGUGUAGCUGAAUAUUUGUCUAGCUGAAUAAGC